Molecule: transfer RNA, 69 nt
Filed under: Chalarodon madagascariensis (Madagascar iguana)
Lineage: Eukaryota; Metazoa; Chordata; Lepidosauria; Squamata
Description: tRNA-Trp
Rfam family: tRNA
About the family: Transfer RNA (tRNA) molecules are approximately 80 nucleotides in length. Their secondary structure includes four short double-helical elements and three loops (D, anti-codon, and T loops). Further hydrogen bonds mediate the characteristic L-shaped molecular structure. tRNAs have two regions of fundamental functional importance: the anti-codon, which is responsible for specific mRNA codon recognition, and the 3' end, to which the tRNAs corresponding amino acid is attached (by aminoacyl-tRNA synthetases). tRNAs cope with the degeneracy of the genetic code in two manners: having more than one tRNA (with a specific anti-codon) for a particular amino acid; and 'wobble' base-pairing, i.e. permitting non-standard base-pairing at the 3rd anti-codon position.
Source: RNAcentral
AGGAACUUAGGUUAACUUAAACCAAGGGCCUUCAAAGCCCUAAAUGAAGACAAAAAUCUUCAGUUUCUG